Molecule: RNA transcript, 2940 nt
Organism: Camelus dromedarius (Arabian camel)
Lineage: Eukaryota; Metazoa; Chordata; Mammalia; Artiodactyla; Camelidae
Gene name: metabotropic glycine receptor-like
Exons: 8
Source: RefSeq, a predicted model, not a curated record
GGGGCAGUUGAGGGUCAGGUCUGUUGCUAGGCUACGAGUGUUCCGGACCAAACAUUCCAAGCCUCUGAGCUUCGCAGCCAAGGUGUGGCAGCGCGAUCUCUGUGGCUUUUCCAUAGCGCUAGCGCUGAGAUUGGGAGGUGGCAAGAGGCCAAGCGGGAAGGGUGUGGUGUCGGAAGGCGAAAGGCAGGAUCAUGAAGAAAGUGAUUAAGUUCACGAGCUGGGUGGGCCUCAGGAAUCUUGAGAGACCUGAGCCUUCGUACAUCACCGAUAAGCGUGAGCUACCAAAGCUCCACAGAGCUGCAUGUUCAGGCUAUGAUGAAACAUUGCGGAAGUUGCUGUCACGUAAGAAAAAUGCCGUAGACAGCAGAGACAAGAACGGCAGGACUCCGCUACACUUGGCCUGCAUCAGCGGCUGUCCAGGAGUGGUGGCUCUCCUUAUCCAGUUCAACUGUGAUCUGAAUGCUCGUGACAAGGAAAGGACGACAGCUCUCAUCAGGGCUGUACAAUCCCUGAACAGGGGAUGUGCCGGUAUCCUGCUGGAACACGGUGCUAACCCAAAUCUUGAGGACGGCGGUCAAAACACUGCUCUCCAUUAUGCCAUCUUGGAAGAGAGUGUGUCAAUUGCAACACAGCUGCUCCGCCAUCAUGCAAAUAUCGAGGCGAUAAACAAGAGUAAUUUGACACCAUUUUUACUCGCUGUCAAGGAGAACAAAAAGGAAAUGGUCAGAUUUUUGAUAGAGAACGGGGCAAAUGUACAUGCAGUCGACAACGUGCAAAGAUCAGCACUCAUCCUUGCUGUAUUUCAUGACUCCCCGGACAUAGUCAAGUUACUUCUUCAGGAAGGUGUUAGUCCCUAUUCUCAAGAUUCACGCGGAUGGUCUGCUGAACAAUAUGCUUAUUCUAAUGGGUUUGAACAGUAAGUGUUUACAUUAAAAUGCCAAGUAUCUCUUAACUGAGGUUGGAAAUGACCUAACUGUUACUUGUUAUGUGACAGGUGAGAGUUCGUAGUUGGGAGCAGGCACUUUGGGGAUGGCAGUGAGACACUCCAAAUCAUCAGCUGGAAACCAGCAAAAGGCCAGACUAGUGAGAUGGAGCAGUGGGCACAGGGUUCUUUAUCUCAGGCUUUGUAAGACCUUUAUCCUUAGGGAUCCUAUUGUUCUCCAUUUCAUUCCAGUGUAACCCCUGUGCAUGGAGGUACAAAUAAUGUCACAUAUCUGAUUUUUCUAACUAAUUCUUUAGGUCUUGAAAUGUUUAGUUGAGCAGAAAAUCCUGUAUGUUCCUUUGGGGACUUUCUUCUAUAAUCUUCCUUUUGAAUUUUCCAAGAGCCUGAGGGAUUCCCUAAGAUCACAGUGACAGUCCUCUCCCACAAGACAUUGGGGCAGGGCGAGGGCAUUCUAAUCAUUCUCUUGUUUCCCUUGAUUCUGUUGCUGCAGUGUUGGUACUAAAACUGGUUUUAACAGGAUCUCCUUGGCAGCUGAGUCUGGGGUCUGGACGUUGCUCUCUAAAGACCUUUACUAAAAUUUUAAAAGAAGAAAAGGAAAAAGAAACUGGUCCUGCAGUCUGGUCAUGAUUGACCUCUGCUCCCGGGAUGCCUGUGCUGAUUCAGUUUCCGUGGUCUUCAUGGUGAUCGACACGUAAACCAGCGUGACAGCUUGUUUAGUUCUCAUACAUAUGCUUGUAUGAGGUCAUAUAUUUAUAAAUAAGUUUAGCUACAAAUUAUAUAGUAGCUGAGGUGCCCUGAAGUAUAAACCACGAAGAACAGCUAAUCACCAUAAUUUGUAACGUUGUCCUGAAAACUGCCACAUUUAAAUAUUACACCUGUGAAAAAAACACACAGUGGGUUUUAUUUGGGAUUCUCAAAUAGUUCCAGCAUUAAAGUUCAAGAACAAAUUUUUCCAUUCUUCCACGCUUUCUCUGAGCAUCUGGGGGGGUACAUUAUCUCAUUAAAUCUUCAUAAUACUCUUAUGAGUAUUAAUAACCAACUGCCUAAGAAGACAGUAAGAUCCCAGUUGUAUAAAGGAAGACUUUGGGCUGAAGAGAAGCAGCUUUUCCAGGAACAAAUAGCUGUUGGUUAUAGAGCUGGGACUUCUGAGUUUGAGACACUUUCCAUAUGUCAGGCUCACUCUAGAUAACUUACUGAGCUGUACUACCCUCAGUUCCUGACUACUUCACUUUAAUUUUUUUCUUCUUUAAUUACACAUGCUAAAUUUAAAUGUUUGUAGAUUGUACAAAUUUGACGUAUAUGGGACAAUUGAAGUUUUGAUAUCUCUGAUAUUAUCUGAAAUAAUCUAAGAAUUUAAUACAUUUGGUAAUUAUAUUUCAUAUUAGUAUUCAAGUAGUAAUAUUUAUUUAUCACAUUAUUUUAUAUAUAGCAUUUACCAGCUGAUUGUCGACUACAGAGAAGGAAAGAUACCAAAUACUCCCUCUCAAAAUAGCGAUCUGGGACAGAUUUCAGCUGAGAAUGUACCUUCUUCGCAUACUGGGGCAGAAAAUACCCAAGAAAAGUUGCAGUUGUCCAGCAAGGACAACGAAGAAGACAUGGUUGCCGAGCUGGGAGCCAGCAAUGGCAGCUGCACGGAUUCACUGAAGAGUGUUGAGAAGAAGACUUUAAGGGUUAAGUUUCCAUUGAGGAUUGAAGAUCUCUCUGUAAGCAGUGUUUCAUCCAUAUAUUGUAUUGAUGAUUCAUGGCAUUCAGCAGAUGAUGACGCAGAUCUUGCUCCGAAGGUAAAGUGCUCUCUUGUGAAAUUAAUUUUUCUGCUCUGAAUUUAGUUUUGUGUAGUAUUUACUCUUAAAAUUUAGCAGUGGUCUGCCUAUCAUUGUUCUAUGUUUGUGUUGGAAAGUUGGUCAGAGUAAACCAUUUUAUAAAAAUACGACUGCUUGAUUUUUUCUUUUCUUAUUUUGGUAAAUACUGAAGAUGAGGCUGAAGCAAAUUGGACCAGA